CGGAAAUUGAGAUGUUGAUCAAAUGAACAGUGCAAGUAGAAACUAGAAAAAAGACAGGCCUUUUAUAGAUGCUUGUCACCUAAUGUUACUGAAGAGGGUUGGGAACCUCAGGGGAUCCUCAGGAUUAAAAGAAGCUGUAAAAAGAUGGUUCAUUCUACAUGGAGAGCAGAUCCUGGCCAUUGGUUAUGAAAUGGAGGUGGAAACUAAAGUCGAAGAGCGUAUUUAAGUUUGGAAGAACAUUAUGCAUUGUUAUAGACAAGUCCUGCUAUGAAGAGAAUAGCAGAACAGGUUCCUUCCAUUCUGUGGUUCAUCUCCUAGCCAUGGGGUCAUCUGCUUACAGCCAGUAGAAGAAGCGUAGAGAAGACAUGCUUACUUCUUUACCAUGAAGAAGUGAUUCCAUGUCACUUCCCACAUUCCACUGAUUAGAACAUUGCCAUAUCUGGAUGGAAGUAUGACCAGAAUAUACUGUCCCUGCCUGGGUAGCCACCCUGCAGUGACAAGUUUACACCUUGGAAGGGGAAACACAAAGGUUUGCUUUUGACAGCCAAUUACCACAGACAUCUUUGGCAAUUCACUAAGCAAUUCAUGGGGAUACUUCUGUCGGAGAAAUUUUCUGCUUGGUCUCUGAAACCUAUGGCUAAAUUCUCUAUAUCAUUCUGAUCCCUACUGCUACCUUAAG
This 679-nucleotide long non-coding RNA is filed under the name Capra hircus (goat). RNAcentral's name for it is "lncRNA (ENSCHIG00000007392.1)". The record is from RNAcentral. Lineage: Eukaryota; Metazoa; Chordata; Mammalia; Artiodactyla; Bovidae.